CAAAAGGAAGUAGAUAAAAAAAUAGACGUACAAAGUAUGUCAUCAAGCUGCGUUUGAAUACAGCGAGAGAUAAAUCUAGUCAUGGAUAAAAGAAAACAAAAAAUAGAAAAGUGAUCAGCAGGUGCACAGCAGAGGCAUGGACAGUGGAUCGACACUCACAGAGUUCGAGCGAGGCAUGGUGAUCGGCUGCAUCCGGGCAGGCAAACAAGUCAAAGACAUUAUCAAAGCUGGAGGCCUGCCAAAAGCUGCGGCGCUGAAGUUUGCAGCGGAUGUUGAGAAGGGAAUUGUUGAUAUUGAAACAGGCCUGUACAAAUCAACCAGAAUUGAGGAUCCGGAGCCUAAAGAAAACACUGGAAGUAAAAUGGAGAAAACAACAACAUAAUAUACUGGUUUUAACUGUAAAUGACAGUGAGAACAUUCCCAAACCCAAAUAGAUCCAGAGACUCCAGGGUUUAAUGGACCCUGCUCUUCCAAGGUGUACCUUGUAUAUGUGCCUGCUUUUCUGUUGGACAAGGAUUCUGUUUUUGUUUAAUUAUGAAGUGACCAGUUAAAAAUAAAAAUAAAUAUAUAUAUAUAUGACGUAUACACACACUGCUGUGCAAAAGUCUUCGACACAUUCAGGAGUUACACUAUAUGGAUAUUAUGAGCAUCAACAAUUUACUCAACGCCUCCACUAGUGUUUUCUACUAUUAUAACAGCUUUGACUGUUGUUAAUACAGCUUAGUUUGGGUGAGAAGAAACCAAGCUUGUCAUUUAGCAAUAUUUAAUGCACAUUGAUUAGAAUCUUUAAAAACUUGUGAUCCCAACAACUCAAAGUAAGCUCUACAUGAGCAGCUAAUAUGAAGUGUUGUAGUAGCUAAUCCUUCACAUUUACCAAUCCAGUCUAAUUGAUGACUCAUUGCCAGUGUUUCUGUCUACACAUCCAUAAAGCUAAAAGCCCACUUUUUGUACUGCAGAAUACAGAUCUAUCAGGAUUAACUGUUAGCUUAAAACAAAAUGGCUAAAAUUUCAGUAGAAGAUCGCCAUAGAAUUGUGUUUCUGCAUAAAGAAGGAAAAACAUUGAGUGAAAUAGCUCGCAUCACUCGAUUUUCAAGGUGUGGUAUCCGAAGCAUAAUCAACAAGUACAGAGAAACAUCAUCUGUAAUUGACAAACCCAGGACCGGAAGACCCAAAAAGCUGUCUAACAAGGAUGAGCAAUACUUGAAGAUUAGAAAGAAUAGAAAGAAGACAAGCGUUGAAUUGACAACAGAACUGGCAGAAGGCUCAGGUGUCUUUGUCCAUCCAUCAACAGUACGAAGGUCACUUUUGAAAUCAGGACUUAAAGGAUGUGUUGCAGUUAGAAAACAUCUGUUAAGAAAGAGGAACAAGACUAAAAGGCUAAAAUAUGCACAAGAACACAGAAAUUGGACUAUGGAACAAUGGUCAAAGGUGCUUUGGACAGACGAGUCAAAGUUUCAGUUAUUUGGAUCUAACUGAAGACAGUAUGUGAGACGAUGAACAACUGAAACUUAUAAAGAGCCUUGCUUGAAGCCAACAAUUAAGCAUGGAGGAGUUUCAAUUCAAGUUUGGGGGUGCAUAUCCUCAAGUGGUGUUGGAAAAUUGAUGGUAUAUUGAAACUGAUGGUAUAUUUAAUCCACCAUGCUAUCCCCAGUGGUGCAAGACUUAUUAGUCCAAACUUCAUUUUACAGCAAGGUAAUGAUCCAAAACACUAAUUAAAACUUAUUUGCAAAAGAAAGAGGAAGCUGGAGUCCUUCAACGCAUGGAAUGGCCCCUCAAAGCCCAGAUCUCCAUAUCAUUGAAGCUGUAUGGGACUAUUUGGACAAUAAAAAAGAAUUCCAGAAACUUAGGUGAUCUCUGGAAGGUCUUGGAAGAAUUGUGGAACACAAUUCCACAAGAGUUUAUAACAAAAUUAUUUGAAAGUGUCCGUAGAAGAAUUUCAGUGGUUUUGAAGGAAAAGGGUGGACAUACUCGCUAUUCGUUUAUAUCAAGGUAUAGUGUGUAUAUGUUUGGUUAAUUGAAUAAGAUUUUCUUUUUCAUAAAGGUGUAUUAUGCAUCAGUGUCCCUUGUAAAGAAACUUUAGAAUUUUGUCAAAAGUCACUAGAUAAUAGACUAGAUAAAUCAACACCAACAGCAGAAGUGCUGAACAUGAUCAACGUAGUUUUAGCAAAGUUAUUUUACAUUUGUUGGUAAGAAUUACAAACAAAACGAUGGUACAGCCAUAGGAUCUAAAUUAGGAAUGUAUUUUGCCAGUACAUACAUGGGGAAAUGGGAAGAACAAUUACUUAGAAAAUCGGAAAGAGAACCUUUAGAAUACAUUCGGUUUGUAGAUGAUAUUUUUGGGGUUUGGACACAUGGAGAUAAAAUCUAUUUUCCAGUUUCAUAAAAUGGCAAAUUAAAUACACAGUAAUAUUAAGGUGGACCUUCGAUGGACAUGAAAAGAAAUAUAAUUUUUAGAUACCAUAGUAAAACUUGAAGGUGGUUUAGCUGAGACUGACCUCUUCUGUAAACCUACUGACAUGCACCAGUAUUUACACAUGUCCUCUGCACAUCCGAUACACACUAAAAGGGCAAUCCCAAAGGGUCUAGGAAUAGGAAUACGAAGAAUAUGCUCAAAAGAAAAAGACUAUGUAAAACAAAGAAAUGUAUUAAAAACAAAUCUUAAAAAAGAGGAUACAAAGAAAUAAUUAGAGACAGAGUUAAGAAAAGUGGAUAGACUAAAAAGAGAUGAUCUACUAGAUUAUAAAAAUAGAGCUAAAAGGUCAAAAGAGUCUCAUUAGUAAAGACUUACUCAAAACUUUUGCCCAAUAUUUCUAAGAUAGUUUGGAAACACUUGCGGAUUCUACAUAAUUCAGAAAAAUUGAAAAAAGUAUUUCUUAAGGCCCCAGUUAUUGCAUUCAAAAGAGAAGCUAAUUUAGGUGAUAUUUUAGUUCACAGUAAACAUAAAAGAAUAAUUGACUGAAUAGGUUUUAUAAAUACUUGCACUAGUACAUGCAAAGUGUGUAAAUACAUGGACAAAAGUACAAAUAUAAUUAAACAUAAGAACAACACAUAGCCACUAAAAACUAAUACCUACUGUAAAAAUAGCAAUGUUGUUUAUGGAAUAGCCUGUGAAAAAUGUGAUGAAAUAAAAUAUGUUGGAGAGACUGGAACAACUUUAUAUAAAAUAAUUCAGAACCUCCUUUCAUUAAUUAGAAAUAAAAAAAAAUGAAUGAACCAAUAUUACAGCACUUCACCAGUCAAGGACAUGACAUUAAUGAUGUAAAGUUUGUAGUAUUAGAACUGCUAGAAUACUGAGCAUCAAAAGAAAUGUAUCACUGAUAUGUGAGCAUCAAAAGAAACGUAUUGCUUAUAUUUGGAUAAAAUUCACUAAAUGUGAUCGAAAAAUGACAAACUCUGUUUUACAGCAGGUGCAGGGACUUUUCAUUGUGCUGAUUAACAAUUGACAUUUUAAAUACAUUUUACUGUCUUAAUCAAAAAAUAAUAGCACAACCCUUCAAUGCACCUUCUUUAGGUUACAUUUAAGAGCUUGCAAUAUGAAAACAAAGCUAAUUUAAGAGAAGGUGUGAUGUAAAUGUGGAAUAUGGACAGAUGGACAGACGUCCCCCUAAAUCCACAGCAUCUGAUAUUAUCAUUAAAUUAUGAUAAAUAAUGUUACUACCAAGUUUCAUGAUUUCAACUGCAGUUUUCAGUAUAUAUAGAAAUAUCUGUGAAGUGUAACAUAUACGUUCGACCACUACUGUGUGAUAGAUGCUGGUGCCUGCGAGUAUUGACACUCUGUGGUUCCAUCUGCAUCACUUAGCUGUCUGGAUGUUCUAUUACUAUUUAAUUAAACACAGAGCUUGCAACAGAUUAUCAGCAUAAUAGAAGCUGAUUACUUCUUGUUCUGCAGAGUCAUCUAUCAUUAAUGUCAAAACUAAAAUUUAAAAUGUAUGGCAUUUGCAACAUAAGCAUUUAAUGGACAAAAAAUAAGUAAAAUGGAAAAUAGGAAGUUAUCACAUGAUAUGAGAGAACUACAGUAAAAAUAGGCUUGUGUGUUCCCAUAAGUGGAUUAGUGGUUUAGGUAUUUAAAUAUAACUAUUUUCAGAGCAAACUUUUUUGUUCAGGUGCUAUGAUUUGAAGGUGAACACUGUACCCUUUAUGCAGUAUUGCCAAAACAUUGGAUGUAUUAUAUGUUCAACCAUAAGAGAUAUUUUGAUGAUCUCAACAGAACUACAGUUGUCCAAUUUGUUAACACUAACGCUAUAAAAUGGCAAAAAACAAAACAUUUAUUUCCUGCUUUGUGAUAUUUAUUUAAAAGGUGCAGUAAGGAUAACUGCCAUAAUUCAAGUGCUGAAUACAAUGUUAAUACCCUAGCGUAGUGACCUCUUCUUGCCUUCCAGAUUUUCACUGGAUAUUAGGUGACAAGAGAAAGAGCACCUGCCCUUUUUUUUGUAAAUAUUCUUUAAUGUACCUGUGACAGAGUGGCUGUGCAGUUUAUAUCUUUCAAUAGAACAAUUAGAAAUUAUAUAGAAAUCACUUUCUUUGUGGUUUUUCUCAUUUUUAACUGCCCAAAUACUUAUGUCUGAGACUGUAUAUGCUUUUAUGAAAUACUCAGUAUGUCCAGUUGUGGCUGUAAGUUAUAGUGUUGUUCCUAAAGAAUGUCAAACUAAGCUUAUUUAAUCAAAUACAACAUGAAAAACUGUGAAACUACCUUUUUAUGCUCUACUCUCUUGUAUAUUUAAAAAAUGUUUUCUUAAAUGGAUUAAUUUGCUUAUUUUUGUGAGAGUUAACAUGAGGAUUUGUUUGCUUAGUUUUAAACACUUAAUGUGAUUUUUAAAUAAAUCAAUGAAUUCUAUUGAGAAUUUGCUGUGUCAGUUUGUAGAAUCCUUGUGAGGGUUUGUAAUUCCACUGCUGAUGUAUUGACUGCUCAUAUGAACCCUUUCAUAGGACUAUUGACUCUUGUCAGUGUUGUGGAAACUAAGAUGUUCACCAUGCUGUGGUCAUGUGACAUUGAUAUAUAGUUUGAUAGAUAGAUAGAUAGAUAGAUAGAUAGAUAGAUAGAUAGAUAAAUUUAUAGGUACCCUACGUUUAUUCUACCAUAAUUCAAGGUAACAGAUAAAGGACAAAUAUUUAUAACCACCUUUUAAUAAAACAAAAAGCAAAAUAACAAUUUCUAGUCAUUUAAUAAAUCAUUUUUUUAAUAAUAAUAAAAAAAAACUUAUUUAAUCUUGUUGGUGAAAUCUGGGCCCAUUCUGUCUUAGAUAUUUCCUUCAGCUCAGACAGAUUGUAUACAAAAUGCAUGACUCCAGCUUUUUUCAGAUCAGUCCAAAGCAUGUUUAUAGGAUUGAAAUCUGGUGAUUACGAAGGCCAUUCCAGAACUUUUAUCUUUGUUUUCUUCAAGAAAUAUGCAAGAUAGAAUUAGCCCCAAUUUCACCAACAAGAUGUAACAUAAUGGUUAAGAAUUACCAUUAAUUUCUAAAAGCUGUAAUAAAUGCACACAAAACACUAAAGCAGGGGUGCCAAUAUUUUGGUCAUGAAUGAAUA
This is a long non-coding RNA of Acipenser ruthenus (sterlet), 5523 nucleotides long. RefSeq lists it as uncharacterized. NCBI's taxonomy places the organism in Eukaryota, Metazoa, Chordata, Actinopteri, Acipenseriformes, Acipenseridae. The record is from RefSeq and is a predicted model, not a curated record. The transcript is spliced from 3 exons.